CACCGCCCGUCACAUCACGAAAGUGAGUUGUACUAGAAGUCGCCAAGCUGACCGCAAGGGAGGCAGCCGUCGAAGGUGGGGUCAGCGAUUGGGGUG
RNAcentral lists this ribosomal RNA (96 nucleotides) under uncultured bacterium. Its description in RNAcentral is "partial 16S ribosomal RNA". The record is from RNAcentral.